UACACUAUCUAUCUAUCUAUCUAUCUAUCUCGUCUGUCUCUGUUUUGAUCUGUGUAUUCGUCUAUCUGUUGAGUGUCUAUAUACAUUCACAUGAUGGACUUCGAAUUUGAAGAAGAGCUGAGAAAUACUGAUGAGCUCCUUGAAAACUUACAAGCUCGAGAGGGAAGACUGGGCAAAAGCAAUGUGCACCCUCUACCCUCACCCCCUACUGUUCAGUGGAGAAAGAGGGACAGCCAAGGGGAAAUACUUUACAAAUAUCCAAGAGCCAAAAGGGCAGCAACUGUAGAAAGACUAAAAAGAGACCACACCAAUAUUUCAGGUCCAUUUGUUAUGGAAGAUGACUUGAAUGGUGGCCCUGCAAAUGCCUCUGAAACAGCUGAUACUAUUCUUGAAGAGCUAAAGAGGCUGUUGGACACUAAGGAAGAUGCAAAUGUUGUCCCAAUUCAAGAUCAUCAACCUCGGUCUAUAUCUAAUGACUGGGCCAUUAGAACUGAAAUGAGGGAGGAGAGAUGGAAAGAAGCUAGAUCUUCUCUUGUGGAGAACAUUUUGAAAGGAGAAGAUGCAAGCUCCUCAUCCUGCCAACAGUGCAGAUCAAAUGCAGCUGUUGUGCGCUGUAGGGACUCCCUUACCCUUUCCUCUGUGCAGAAUGUGAUGAGAAACGUCAUGGUAGCUUCUUUGUUCUCCACAAUAGAGAUUCACUUGUCUCAGGUUUUGUACAACCUUUACCUCCAUCAACAGGAUUCUUCCAGGCAGCUGGUCAAAUUUCUGUUAAACAUCUUGUUCGACUGCUGCCUGUAG
RNAcentral lists this long non-coding RNA (798 nucleotides) under Carassius auratus (goldfish). RNAcentral describes it as "lncRNA (ENSCARG00000052357.1)". Lineage: Eukaryota; Metazoa; Chordata; Actinopteri; Cypriniformes; Cyprinidae. The record is from RNAcentral.